RNAcentral lists this ribosomal RNA (468 nucleotides) under uncultured bacterium. Its description in RNAcentral is "partial 16S ribosomal RNA". It matches the Rfam family "Bacterial small subunit ribosomal RNA", at positions 28 to 507 of the family's 1533-position model. The record is from RNAcentral.
GACGAACGCUGGCGGCGUGCUUAACACAUGCAAGUCGAACGGAAAGGCCCUGCUUUUGUGGGGUGCUCGAGUGGCGAACGGGUGAGUAACACGUGAGUAACCUGCCCUUGACUUUGGGAUAACUUCAGGAAACUGGGGCUAAUACCGGAUAGGAGCUCCUGCUGCAUGGUGGGGGUUGGAAAGUUUCGGCGGUUGGGGAUGGACUCGCGGCUUAUCAGCUUGUUGGUGGGGUAGUGGCUUACCAAGGCUUUGACGGGUAGCCGGCCUGAGAGGGUGACCGGCCACAUUGGGACUGAGAUACGGCCCAGACUCCUACGGGAGGCAGAAGUGGGGAAUAUUGCACAAUGGGCGGAAGCCUGACGCAGCAACGCCGCGUGCGGGAUGACGGCCUUCGGGUUGUAAACCGCUUUCGCCUGUGACGAAGCGUGAGUGACGGUAAUGGGUAAAGAAGCACCGGCUAACUACGUG